RNAcentral lists this long non-coding RNA (225 nucleotides) under Elaeis guineensis (African oil palm). RNAcentral describes it as "long non-coding RNA (EGUI_LNC081139)". The record is from RNAcentral. Lineage: Eukaryota; Viridiplantae; Streptophyta; Magnoliopsida; Arecales; Arecaceae.
CCUUAUUUAUGUGAAUAUUUGGUUGAGAAACAUCUAUUUAUUUUUUUUAAAUUUCAUUAAUUUCAAUAUUUCUCCCACUGCCUCUUUCUAGGAUAAAUUCUUUCUCCAUGAAAGUGGCAUGCCUACUUAUAAAUACCUUUUGUUCAGUAGGGUGGUAGAAUAGAUAUCCUAUACUAUCCUUAGGAUAUCCUAUAAACAAAUAUUUAUCUGCUCUAGCAUCUAGCU